ACAACUCUAGAGAUAGAGCCUUCCCCUUCGGGGGACAAAGUGACAGGUGGUGCAUGGUUGUCGUCAGCUCGUGUCGUGAGAUGUUGGGUUAAGUCCCGCAACGAGCGCAACCCUUAAGCUUAGUUGCCAUCAUUAAGUUGGGCACUCUAAGUUGACUGCCGGUGACAAACCGGAGGAAGGUGGGGAUGACGUCAAAUCAUCAUGCCCCUUAUGAUUUGGGCUACACACGUGCUACAAUGGACAAUACAAAGGGCAGCGAAACCGCGAGGUCAAGCAAAUCCCAUAAAGUUGUUCUCAGUUCGGAUUGUAGUCUGCAACUCGACUACAUGAAGCUGGAAUCGCUAGUAAUCGUAGAUCAGCAUGCUACGGUGAAUACGUUCCCGGGUCUUGUACACACCGCCCGUCACACCACGAGAGUUUGUAACACCCGAAGCCGGUGGAGUAACCUUUUAGGAGCUAGCCGUCGAAGGUGGGACAAAUGAUUGGGGUGAAGUCGUAACAAGGUAGCCGUAUCGGAAGGUGCGGCU
Molecule: ribosomal RNA, 527 nt
Filed under: Staphylococcus aureus
Lineage: Bacteria; Bacillati; Bacillota; Bacilli; Caryophanales; Staphylococcaceae
Description: bacterial SSU rRNA
Rfam family: Bacterial small subunit ribosomal RNA
Source: RNAcentral